GAUGAAGAACGUAGCGAAAUGCGAUAAGUAAUGUGAAUUGCAGAAUUCAGUGAAUCAUCGAAUCUUUGAACGCAUCUUGCGCUCCUUGGUAUUCUGAGGAGCAUGCCUGUUUGAGUGUCAUUAAAUUCUCAACUACACUGACUUUGAAUUGGUGUGGCUUGGAUUUGGGGGGAAAAUUGUUGUGGGCUUUUUGUAUAGUCUGCUCCCCUGAAAUUGAUUAGCGGUACCUUUGUGGAACUGUCUACAGGUGUGAUAAUUAUCUACAUCUUAGACAUCUGCUGGAAUGCUGCUUUCUAAACCUUACUUGUAUUGACAAUCUUGACCUCAAAUCAGGUAGGACUACCCGCUGAACUUAAGCAUAUAAUAAGCGGAGGA
RNAcentral lists this unclassified non-coding RNA (375 nucleotides) under soil metagenome. RNAcentral's name for it is "partial contains 5.8S ribosomal RNA, internal transcribed spacer 2, and large subunit ribosomal RNA". The stretch from base 1 to 120 matches the Rfam family "5.8S ribosomal RNA", at positions 35 to 154 of the family's 154-position model. The record is from RNAcentral.